RNAcentral lists this transfer RNA (264 nucleotides) under Hevea brasiliensis (rubber tree). The stretch from base 145 to 228 matches the Rfam family "tRNA". Lineage: Eukaryota; Viridiplantae; Streptophyta; Magnoliopsida; Malpighiales; Euphorbiaceae. The record is from RNAcentral.
GCCAUCAUCCUCGCGCUGUACAGGCCAUUCCGGGGGCUUCAUGGCGUUUUCGAGCGAAGUGGCGACCGGUUCGCGUCAACGAAACGCACCAGGACGACGGCAAUUUGACAAGCGCGCGCCCUGUCCUUAGUAACCGCACCCAAUGCCCAGGUGGCGGAAUUGGUAGACGCGCUGGCUUCAGGUGCCAGUGGCUUAACGGCCGUGAAGGUUCGAGUCCUUUCCUGGGCACCACUCGCUCUCAAGCGAUCGAAAUCUCGAUGGCAU